RNAcentral lists this ribosomal RNA (160 nucleotides) under uncultured Trebouxia photobiont. RNAcentral's name for it is "5.8S ribosomal RNA". It matches the Rfam family "5.8S ribosomal RNA". From Rfam's summary of the family: 5.8S ribosomal RNA (5.8S rRNA) is a component of the large subunit of the eukaryotic ribosome. It is transcribed by RNA polymerase I as part of the 45S precursor that also contains 18S and 28S rRNA. Functionally, it is thought that 5.8S rRNA may be involved in ribosome translocation. Lineage: Eukaryota; Viridiplantae; Chlorophyta; Trebouxiophyceae; Trebouxiales; Trebouxiaceae. The record is from RNAcentral.
GACAACUCUCAACAACGGAUAUCUUGGCUCCCGUAACGAUGAAGAACGCAGCGAAAUGCGAUACGUAGUGUGAAUUGCAGAAUUCCGUGAACCAUCGAAUCUUUGAACGCAAAUUGCGCUUGAGGCUUCGGCCAAGAGCAUGUCUGGCUCAGCGUCGGCU